RNAcentral lists this long non-coding RNA (428 nucleotides) under Fukomys damarensis (Damara mole-rat). Its description in RNAcentral is "lncRNA (ENSFDAG00000024982.1)". Lineage: Eukaryota; Metazoa; Chordata; Mammalia; Rodentia; Bathyergidae. The record is from RNAcentral.
GUGACAUUAGUCCUAUUUGUUAAAAGAGCAAACAGAGCGCCCACCGCAGCCCGAGGCCUUGGAAAAGCCUCUCUCCAGCCUCCCCAAGGGCCAUUCCGCUCCAGAACAAUGGAAUGUGUGCCCUUUCUCUGCUCUUUCGGAGGGGAGGGCAAUAACAAGAGCUAGAGGUGGACAUCUGUGCCUAGCGGUUGGCUUCUGACUUCACACACCACCCUUUCAGGGGCUUGGCUGUCUACAAAGAGGAGCAGCACUCUUCGUGGCUUUGAAGAGAGGAAAGAUACACACAGGUCGUGUCCCUCCGCCGCCGCGCACGGAGCCUCAGGGUCGGGGUCCGGGCAGGCCCUUCUCCGGUGACAGCAUCCAUAGCUCCAACUCAAUUGAACACAAGUCCGUCCCUCGCCUCAGGUAGGUGGCAGGCACUCAGAGGC